RNAcentral lists this ribosomal RNA (388 nucleotides) under uncultured bacterium. RNAcentral describes it as "bacterial SSU rRNA". It matches the Rfam family "Bacterial small subunit ribosomal RNA", at positions 29 to 417 of the family's 1533-position model. The record is from RNAcentral.
AUUAAACGCUGGCGGCAUGCCUUACACAUGCAAGUCGAACGGCAGCACGGGGGCAACCCUGGUGGCGAGUGGCGGACGGGUGAGUAGAGCAUCGGAACGUAUCCUGGAGUGGGGGGAUAACGUAGCGAAAGUUACGCUAAUACCGCAUAUUCUGUGAGCAGGAAAGCAGGGGAUCGCAAGACCUUGCGCUCUGGGAGCGGCCGAUGUCGGAUUAGCUAGUCGGUGGGGUAAAGGCCUACCAAGGCGACGAUCCGUAGCGGGUCUGAGAGGAUGAUCCGCCACACUGGGACUGAGACACGGCCCAGACUCCUACGGGAGGCAGCAGUGGGGAAUUUUGGACAAUGGGCGGAAGCCUGAUCCAGCCAUGCCGCGUGAGUGAAGAAGGCCU